GUGUGUGUGGCAACACUGUAUGUGAAGUUAUAAGAUUCCCCUGUAUGGUGUUAACACAUGCUCCAAACUCCAUAGCUCUGCCCAGGAACAAGUUGGGAAACAUUUCUGUUCUAAACAAAGGAAUGUGUACUUGCCUGAAUUGCAUUUAAGUAGUAAAGGGAGGACAAAGCAAGUUCAACAGGUGAAAAAAAAUCAGCAGGGAAUAUCCUUCCGCACAGACUCUCUGGCUCCUGGUUCUCAGCUGGAAAUGUUUUUCAAGAGGGGGACUGAAACUAUAACAAGGAGGGACAAACACCCGGAGGCACCUUUAUCUCUCUCCCCCUGUCCAUCGCAUUCAGUGCAUCUGAAGAGACAAAGGAAGCAGCCAUUUGAUGCUAGGGGAGGGGUCCUGACCUAAAAAGUCUGGUCAGUGAGACUGCUGAAAGCACACGGGGACUUCAGGGACCGUUACUCUGUUGCAGGAGGGUGCUUCAGAGACAGAGGCUAGUUCCUUUGUAUGGAGACGAGGGCCAAGGCAAACUCAAGCAGUACCAAGGAAGAACAACCUUACCCAAGAGUCUCUCUAUAAAGCCAGGCAGAAAGAAGUGCUGAGAAUCAAGCUCAGACUCUUCCAUCCCCCACCAUUCCCAGCCAUCCAGACGAGCAGAAUGGGGGAGUAAGGAAAAAAGAGAUUUCCCACAACCCCUUGGCAUCAUCCACACCAGGCAGAAAGGGAGGCAGACCUCUUCCAGAGUACCCCUGCAGGACUCCAGGAAGCAGGAGGAGGAGUCCCCUCAUGGGACCUCAGGAGACACCUGGCAGGGGGAUCCUCAAGAACAGUUAAUUGACAGGGCAAGGGAGAGAAAUUUAACCCUCUGUGCUGGCAUACAUACGGUUUCACAGCUACAUUGUCCCCACUUCAAUUUUGUUUAAUAAAUACAUCUUAUUGUAAAUA
Trachemys scripta elegans is the source of this 934-nucleotide long non-coding RNA. RefSeq lists it as uncharacterized. The record is from RefSeq and is a predicted model, not a curated record. Lineage: Eukaryota; Metazoa; Chordata; Testudines; Emydidae. The transcript has 3 exons.